UGGGGGAGUAUUGCACAAUGGGGGAAACCCGUGAUGCAGCGACGCCGCGUGGGUGAAGAAGCGCCUCGGCGCGUAAAGCCCUGUCAGCAGGGAAGAAAAUGACGGUACCUGAAGAAGAAGCCCCGGCUAACUACGUGCC
This 139-nucleotide ribosomal RNA is filed under the name uncultured bacterium. RNAcentral describes it as "partial 16S ribosomal RNA". It matches the Rfam family "Bacterial small subunit ribosomal RNA", at positions 354 to 509 of the family's 1533-position model. The record is from RNAcentral.